This 1513-nucleotide long non-coding RNA is filed under the name Lupinus angustifolius (narrow-leaved blue lupine). RNAcentral's name for it is "long non-coding RNA (LANG_LNC000922)". The record is from RNAcentral. Lineage: Eukaryota; Viridiplantae; Streptophyta; Magnoliopsida; Fabales; Fabaceae.
AUUAUGAUUAUAUAUGUGCCUUCUUUUUAUUGCUUUCAGAAAAUUCCAUCUCAUGUUUAAAUGAUCAAGCAGUGUAGUAAGAAAAUAUCAUUGUACCUAAAUACUUCCUACAGAUGGACAUAAUCCUUCAAAGUGAUAGAUUAAAGGAAGAAAAAUCGGAUUUUCUGUUGCUUAAUGUUAAGUUCGGUUAAAACUUGGCCACAACAUUUUCUGCACAUGAACCUUUGCUGAGGAAUUCUGUCGUAUUCUGAUUUCACUAAUUUGAAAGGCUUUUGAGUUGCCUUUGGACGUGAUGCGAUUUACUCUUACGAAUCACAAGGUAUGUUACUAUACCGUAUUUGAACAGAUGGUUUCAUGUUGUUAUUGCAAUCACUAUGUAAUGGCUAAAGAUUGAAAUCUUUCUAAUUACCUUGGAGUAGACAAUUUUGAGACAUUCUUCUUUUGCAAUGAAAAUUGUAUUUUUCGCAAAGUAUCUUCCUUAUAAGUAUGUUAGCGACCAACAAUACUUUUGGGAAAAUGGAAAUAGGAUUUUCAAACAUGGACUUUAUCUAGAAGUAUAUUUUGUGCUAGUGAUGUUCUUUAAGGCUAGGUUUGUGACAAGAUUGAGUUCCUUAAUUUUUGGAAGAAAUCAUGAGAGUUAUAGAACAUAUAUAAUAUUUUGCUGUUCAAAAUCGUAGUCUGCGGCAGUUGCAUUUUUCGAGUGAGCUCUUGAUUUUUGGCAAGAAAUUCAUCACUUGAAUAAGUAGGCAGCCAAGGCCAUAUGGCUGAGCGGCACCUUUACUUCAGAACAUAUAUGAACAUGCAUAUUUUAUAAAGGAAAACAAAUAUUCUUGCCAUCUUAGAAAUAUAAUCCACCACAGACAAUUCCAUCUAAUUGCUGCAGGAAUAGUUCUAUCCCGAGCAGUGGCAUCCUUCACUGCCUUGGCUAAGAAUGUGAUGGUCUUGACUCUUGAGGUUUGGUUAAACAUACUUGAUUUAAGCUUCAUUCCUGAUUCUAAGGAACAAACCAGGUUGGGGAAGAUGGGUAAGAUGACAUGACUAUCCAAGCUCCAUAUCAACUUAUCCAUUUAAAUUCACAUAAUUUUAUAAGCUUUUAGGGAAAUAGGAUGUUCAAGGUAAUUCUUUUCUACUAACCCGCGAUGAUUAAACUUCUUAAAGCCUAAAGAAAGAUGAACUGAGCUGAAAUAUGGUACAAUGAUGUUAUCUCAUAGAAGUACAUUGUAAGAAUCGUAAUAUGUGGUUUCGUACUAUGUUGUUAUAUUAUUUACAAACUGCUGCAUUUAAACCCCAUAAAAAUGGGGGUAGUAAAUAAAGCUCUUAUCGUGUGAGGUAACAAAACCUAUAGUAAAAAAAGAAACAAUAAUACCUAUUACUUUGAUUACUACAAGAUUAAAUAUCUAAGGAUAUGCAUUAAAAUGACUAAAAUCAGAAAAUAAGCCAUCAUAGUCUCAUAAGAUAGGUUUGCUUCAGGAUUCAAAACCACAGCAGGAGAGUGAGGAGAUAUAAUGAGGAG